This 351-nucleotide ribosomal RNA is filed under the name Triticum aestivum (bread wheat). RNAcentral's name for it is "partial small subunit ribosomal RNA". Lineage: Eukaryota; Viridiplantae; Streptophyta; Magnoliopsida; Poales; Poaceae. The record is from RNAcentral.
UCCAGCCCUAGCGCCUCCGCUCCUCUCCCCCGCCGCCACCCCCUCCCCGCAUCGUCUCCCACGCCAAGACCGCCGCCGCCGCCCGUCAAGAUGGUGCUGCAGAACGACAUCGACCUCCUCAACCCGCCGGCGGAGCUCGAGAAGCUCAAGCACAAGAAGAAGCGCCUCGUGCAGUCCCCCAACUCCUUCUUCAUGGAUGUCAAGUGCCAGGGCUGCUUCAACAUAACGACUGUGUUCAGCCACUCUCAGACCGUGGUGGUGUGCCCUGGCUGCCAGACGGUGCUUUGCCAACCCACCGGAGGAAAGGCGAGGCUCACCGAGGGAUGCUCCUUCCGCCGGAAGGGCGACUAA